Molecule: transfer RNA, 58 nt
Filed under: Ictidomys tridecemlineatus (thirteen-lined ground squirrel)
Lineage: Eukaryota; Metazoa; Chordata; Mammalia; Rodentia; Sciuridae
Description: Spermophilus tridecemlineatus (thirteen-lined ground squirrel) tRNA
Rfam family: tRNA
About the family: Transfer RNA (tRNA) molecules are approximately 80 nucleotides in length. Their secondary structure includes four short double-helical elements and three loops (D, anti-codon, and T loops). Further hydrogen bonds mediate the characteristic L-shaped molecular structure. tRNAs have two regions of fundamental functional importance: the anti-codon, which is responsible for specific mRNA codon recognition, and the 3' end, to which the tRNAs corresponding amino acid is attached (by aminoacyl-tRNA synthetases). tRNAs cope with the degeneracy of the genetic code in two manners: having more than one tRNA (with a specific anti-codon) for a particular amino acid; and 'wobble' base-pairing, i.e. permitting non-standard base-pairing at the 3rd anti-codon position.
Source: Rfam by way of RNAcentral
UAGCUCAGUUGGUAGAGCAUUUGCCUCACAUGCAAAAGACCCUGGGUUUGAACCCUAG